CCUAACCUUAGAGCAUUGCAGGUGUGGCGGCUGGGUCACAUGUGCAUCAGUAGGUGGCAGAGGAAAGACAGGUAUGUCUAAGCUCAUUGUUCUAACCUAUAAACUUCUAACGAUUAGUAGCCUAACACU
Small nucleolar RNA from Meriones unguiculatus (Mongolian gerbil), 129 nucleotides. NCBI's taxonomy places the organism in Eukaryota, Metazoa, Chordata, Mammalia, Rodentia, Muridae. The record is from Ensembl.